GACAGAGGGUGCAAACGUUGUUCGGAAUUACUGGGCGUAAAGCGAGUGUAGGCGGUUUGGUAAGUCGGAUGUGAAAGCCCCGGGCUCAACUCGGGAAGUGCACUCGAUACUGCCAAGCUAGAGUACUGGAGAGGUUGGUGGAAUUCUCGGUGUAGAGGUGAAAUUCGUAGAUAUCGAGAGGAACACCGGUGGCGAAGGCGGCCAACUGGACAGAUACUGACGCUGAGACUCGAAAGCGUGGGGAGCAAACAGGAUUAGAAACCCGAGUAGUCC
Molecule: ribosomal RNA, 273 nt
Filed under: uncultured bacterium
Lineage: Bacteria
Description: partial 16S ribosomal RNA
Rfam family: Bacterial small subunit ribosomal RNA
Source: RNAcentral